Molecule: microRNA precursor, 58 nt
Filed under: Mus musculus (house mouse)
Lineage: Eukaryota; Metazoa; Chordata; Mammalia; Rodentia; Muridae
Description: Mmu-Mir-1947_pre stem-loop
Source: RNAcentral
AGGACGAGCUAGCUGAGUGCUGCAGACACUCUAAGAGCACUGAGCUAGCUCUCCCUCC